This 505-nucleotide ribosomal RNA is filed under the name uncultured bacterium. Its description in RNAcentral is "partial 16S ribosomal RNA". It matches the Rfam family "Bacterial small subunit ribosomal RNA", at positions 29 to 523 of the family's 1533-position model. The record is from RNAcentral.
AGUGAACGCUGGCGGUAGGCCUAACACAUGCAAGUCGAACGGCAGCACAGGAGAGCUUGCUCUCUGGGUGGCGCGUGGCGGAUGGGUGAGGAAUACAUCGGAAUCUACUCUGUCGUGGGGGAUAACGUAGGGAAACUUACGCUAAUACCGCAUACGACCUACGGGUGAAAGCAGGGGACCUUCGGGCCUUGCGCGAUUGAAUGAGCCGAUGUCGGAUUAGCUAGUUGGCGGGGUAAAGGCCCACCAAGGCGACGAUCCGUAGCUGGUCUGAGAGGAUGAUCAGCCACACUGGAACUGAGACACGGUCCAGACGCCUACGGGAGGCAGCAGUGGGGAAUAUUGGACAAUGGGCGCAAGCCUGAUCAGCCAUACCGCGUGGGUGAAGAAGGCCUUCGGGUUGUAAAGCCCUUUUGUUGGGAAAGAAAUCCAGCUGGCUAAUACCCGGUUGGGAUGACGGUACCCAAAGAAUAAGCACCGGCUAACUUCGUGCCAGCAGCCGCCGUAA